AUGCAAGUCGAACGAACUCUGGUAUUGAUUGGUGCUUGCAUCAUGAUUUACAUUUGAGUGAGUGGCGAACUGGUGAGUAACACGUGGGAAACCUGCCCAGAAGCGGGGGAUAACACCUGGAAACAGAUGCUAAUACCGCAUAACAACUUGGACCGCAUGGUCCGAGUUUGAAAGAUGGCUUCGGCUAUCACUUUUGGAUGGUCCCGCGGCGUAUUAGCUAGAUGGUGAGGUAACGGCUCACCAUGGCAAUGAUACGUAGCCGACCUGAGAGGGUAAUCGGCCACAUUGGGACUGAGACACGGCCCAAACUCCUACGGGAGGCAGCAGUAGGGAAUCUUCCACAAUGGACGAAAGUCUGAUGGAGCAACGCCGCGUGAGUGAAGAAGGGUUUCGGCUCGUAAAACUCUGUUGUUAAAGAAGAACAUAUCUGAGAGUAACUGUUCAGGUAUUGACGGUAUUUAACCAGAAAGCCACGGCUAACUACGUGCCAGCAGCCGCGGUAAUACGUAGGUGGCAAGCGUUGUCCGGAUUUAUUGGGCGUAAAGCGAGCGCAGGCGGUUUUUUAAGUCUGAUGUGAAAGCCUUCGGCUCAACCGAAGAAGUGCAUCGGAAACUGGGAAACUUGAGUGCAGAAGAGGACAGUGGAACUCCAUGUGUAGCGGUGAAAUGCGUAGAUAUAUGGAAGAACACCAGUGGCGAAGGCGGCUGUCUGGUCUGUAACUGACGCUGAGGCUCGAAAGUAUGGGUAGCAAACAGGAUUAGAUACCCUGGUAGUCCAUACCGUAAACGAUGAAUGCUAAGUGUUGGAGGGUUUCCGCCCUUCAGUGCUGCAGCUAACGCAUUAAGCAUUCCGCCUGGGGAGUACGGCCGCAAGGCUGAAACUCAAAGGAAUUGACGGGGGCCCGCACAAGCGGUGGAGCAUGUGGUUUAAUUCGAAGCUACGCGAAGAACCUUACCAGGUCUUGACAUACUAUGCAAAUCUAAGAGAUUAGACGUUCCCUUCGGGGACAUGGAUACAGGUGGUGCAUGGUUGUCGUCAGCUCGUGUCGUGAGAUGUUGGGUUAAGUCCCGCAACGAGCGCAACCCUUAUUAUCAUUUGCCAGCAUUAAUUUGGGCACUCUGUUGAGACUGCCGGUGACAAACCCGAAGAAAGGUGGGGAUGACGUCAAUUCUCCUGCCCCUUAUGACUGGGGCUACGCACGUGCUCCCAUGGAUGGUACAGCAAUUGGCGACCGGCCGGAAUACGCCUAUCCCUUAAAGCAUUUCCCAGUUCGGAUUGUAACUUUGAAAGUGGCGACAGGAAGUCGCAAUCCUCAAAAGGACGAAGAUCCAAUACCCGGAGUAAAAAGUUCCCCGGCCUUGGAAGCAGGCCAAUCCCCCGCGGAACGUCGCACGCCCAACUAUUCGACGAUAACAUUUGACCACCCAAGCAAGGGAGGGAGCCAGUUAAAGAUUAACUUAGGAAUGGAUUGGAAGAUAGCGCGGGACGCUCAGCCGAACAGGGCAAAAAACCAAUAGGCACGAUUGGAAUAGGAACGGAGGAGUAAAGAGUAAAUGAG
Molecule: ribosomal RNA, 1558 nt
Filed under: Lactiplantibacillus plantarum
Lineage: Bacteria; Bacillati; Bacillota; Bacilli; Lactobacillales; Lactobacillaceae
Description: bacterial SSU rRNA
Rfam family: Bacterial small subunit ribosomal RNA
Source: RNAcentral